RNAcentral lists this ribosomal RNA (496 nucleotides) under uncultured bacterium. Its description in RNAcentral is "partial 16S ribosomal RNA". It matches the Rfam family "Bacterial small subunit ribosomal RNA", at positions 28 to 506 of the family's 1533-position model. The record is from RNAcentral.
GAUGAACGCUGGCGGCGUGCCUAAUACAUGCAAGUCGAGCGAACAGACGAGGAGCUUGCUCCUUUGACGUUAGCGGCGGACGGGUGAGUAACACGUAGGUAACCUACCUAUAAGACUGGGAUAACUUCGGGAAACCGGAGCUAAUACCGGAUAAUAUUUCGAACCGCAUGGUUCGAUAGUGAAAGAUGGCUUUGCUAUCACUUAUAGAUGGACCUGCGCCGUAUUAGCUAGUUGGUAAGGUAACGGCUUACCAAGGCAACGAUACGUAGCCGACCUGAGAGGGUGAUCGGCCACACUGGAACUGAGACACGGUCCAGACUCCUACGGGAGGCAGCAGUAGGGAAUCUUCCGCAAUGGGCGAAAGCCUGACGGAGCAACGCCGCGUGAGUGAUGAAGGGCUUCGGAUCGUAAAACGCUGUUAUUAGGGAAGAACAAACGUGUAAGUAACUGUGCACGUCUUGACGGUACCUAAUCAGAAAGCCACGGCUAACUACGU